RNAcentral lists this ribosomal RNA (317 nucleotides) under Vibrio sp. RNAcentral describes it as "bacterial SSU rRNA". It matches the Rfam family "Bacterial small subunit ribosomal RNA", at positions 887 to 1207 of the family's 1533-position model. Lineage: Bacteria; Pseudomonadati; Pseudomonadota; Gammaproteobacteria; Vibrionales; Vibrionaceae. The record is from RNAcentral.
CGCAAGAUUAAAACUCAAAUGAAUUGACGGGGGCCCGCACAAGCGGUGGAGCAUGUGGUUUAAUUCGAUGCAACGCGAAGAACCUUACCUAGUCUUGACAUGCAGAGAACUUUCCAGAGAUGGAUUGGUGCCUUCGGGAACUCUGAUACAGGUGCUGCAUGGCUGUCGUCAGCUCGUGUUGUGAAAUGUUGGGUUAAGUCCCGCAACGAGCGCAACCCUUAUCCUUGUUUGCCAGCGAGUAAUGUCGGGAACUCCAGGAGACUGCCGGUGAUAACCGGAGGAAGUGGGGACGACGUCAGUCAUCAUGGCCCUUACGA